Molecule: ribosomal RNA, 561 nt
Filed under: uncultured Rhodocyclales bacterium
Lineage: Bacteria; Pseudomonadati; Pseudomonadota; Betaproteobacteria; Rhodocyclales
Description: bacterial SSU rRNA
Rfam family: Bacterial small subunit ribosomal RNA
Source: RNAcentral
GGCGAACGGGUGAGUAAUACAUCGGAACGUGUCCAGUAGCGGGGGAUAACCUGUCGAGAGAUAGGCUAAUACCGCAUACGACCUACGGGUGAAAGCGGGGGCCGCAAGGCCUCGCACUAUUGGAGCGGCUGAUGCCGGAUUAGCUAGUUGGUAGGGUAAAAGCCUACCAAGGCAACGAUCCGUAGCUGGUCUGAGAGGACGAUCAGCCACACUGGAACUGAGACACGGUCCAGACUCCUACGGGAGGCAGCAGUGGGGAAUUUUGGACAAUGGGGGCAACCCUGAUCCAGCCAUGCCGCGUGAGUGAAGAAGGCCUUCGGGUUGUAAAGCUCUUUCGGCGGGGACGAAACGGUCCGUGCUAAUACCACGGACAAAUGACGGUACCCGCAUAAGAAGCACCGGCUAACUACGUGCCAGCAGCCGCGGUAAUACGUAGGGUGCAGGCGUUAAUCGGAAUUACUGGGCGUAAAGCGUGCGCAGGCGGUUUGUUAAGACAGGUGUGAAAUCCCCGGGCUUAACCUGGGAAUUGCGCUUGUUACUGGCAGACUGGAGUGUGGCAGA